Long non-coding RNA from Etheostoma cragini (Arkansas darter), 142 nucleotides. RefSeq lists it as uncharacterized. The record is from RefSeq and is a predicted model, not a curated record. Lineage: Eukaryota; Metazoa; Chordata; Actinopteri; Perciformes; Percidae. The transcript has 3 exons.
AGUUUUGUAAUCAAAACUCGCAACUGCCCUGUACAAUAAGUUUCCAAGACCAUAGUGUGUUCUUUACUAUGAUCACAAUGCUUCAUAAACUGUAGCUUAAAACUGAGACAUAAAAGGUCAAAUAUCAACUAAAUAUUUCUGU